Molecule: ribosomal RNA, 1204 nt
Filed under: Chryseobacterium aquaticum
Lineage: Bacteria; Pseudomonadati; Bacteroidota; Flavobacteriia; Flavobacteriales; Weeksellaceae
Description: bacterial SSU rRNA
Rfam family: Bacterial small subunit ribosomal RNA
Source: RNAcentral
GGCGCACGGGUGCGGAACACGUGUGCAACCUGCCUUUAUCUGGGGGAUAGCCUUUCGAAAGGAAGAUUAAUACCCCAUAAUAUAUUGAGUGGCAUCACUUGAUAUUGAAAACUCCGGUGGAUAGAGAUGGGCACGCGCAAGAUUAGAUAGUUGGUGAGGUAACGGCUCACCAAGUCAAUGAUCUUUAGGGGGCCUGAGAGGGUGAUCCCCCACACUGGUACUGAGACACGGACCAGACUCCUACGGGGGGCAGCAGUGAGGAAUAUUGGACAAUGGGUGAGAGCCUGAUCCAGCCAUCCCGCGUGAAGGACGACUGCCCUAUGGGUUGUAAACUUCUUUUAUACUGGGAUAAACCUACCCUUCGUGAGGGUAGCUGAAGGUACAGUAUGAAUAAGCACCGGCUAACUCCGUGCCAGCAGCCGCGGUAAUACGGAGGGUGCAAGCGUUAUCCGGAUUUAUUGGGUUUAAAGGGUCCGUAGGCGGACUCGUAAGUCAGUGGUGAAAUCUCAUAGCUUAACUAUGAAACUGCCAUUGAUACUGCGGGUCUUGAGUAAAGUAGAAGUGGCUGGAAUAAGUAGUGUAGCGGUGAAAUGCAUAGAUAUUACUUAGAACACCAAUUGCGAAGGCAGGUCACUAUGUUUUAACUGACGCUGAUGGACGAAAGCGUGGGGAGCGAACAGGAUUAGAUACCCUGGUAGUCCACGCCGUAAACGAUGCUAACUCGUUUUUGGGUUUUCGGAUUCAGAGACUAAGCGAAAGUGAUAAGUUAGCCACCUGGGGAGUACGUUCGCAAGAAUGAAACUCAAAGGAAUUGACGGGGGCCCGCACAAGCGGUGGAUUAUGUGGUUUAAUUCGAUGAUACGCGAGGAACCUUACCAAGGCUUAAAUGGGAAUUGACAGGUUUAGAAAUAGAUCCUUCUUCGGACAAUUUUCAAGGUGCUGCAUGGUUGUCGUCAGCUCGUGCCGUGAGGUGUUAGGUUAAGUCCUGCAACGAGCGCAACCCCUGUCACUAGUUGCCAUCAUUCAGUUGGGGACUCUAGUGAGACUGCCUACGCAAGUAGAGAGGAAGGUGGGGAUGACGUCAAAUCAUCACGGCCCUUACGCCUUGGGCCACACACGUAAUACAAUGGCCGGUACAGAGGGCAGCUACUAUGCGAAUAGAUGCGAAUCUCGAAAGCCGGUCUCAGUUCGGAUUGGAGUCUGC